Molecule: microRNA, 22 nt
Filed under: Alligator mississippiensis (American alligator)
Lineage: Eukaryota; Metazoa; Chordata; Crocodylia; Alligatoridae
Description: ami-miR-9607-5p
Source: miRBase by way of RNAcentral
CUCUGUUCUUUUGCAUCUUUCA